Molecule: ribosomal RNA, 253 nt
Filed under: uncultured bacterium
Lineage: Bacteria
Description: partial 16S ribosomal RNA
Rfam family: Bacterial small subunit ribosomal RNA
Source: RNAcentral
GACAGAGGGUGCGAACGUUGUUCGGAAUUACUGGGCGUAAAGCGCGUGUAGGCGGCAGCGUAAGUCGGGCGUGAAAUCCCACGGCUCAACCGUGGAAGUGCACUCGAAACUGCGCAGCUAGAGUCCUGGAGAGGAAGGUGGAAUGCUUGGUGUAGAGGUGAAAUUCGUAGAUAUCAAGCGGAACACCGGUGGCGAAGGCGGCCUUCUGGACAGUGACUGACGCUGAGACGCGAAAGCGUGGGGAGCAAACGGG